Molecule: ribosomal RNA, 1398 nt
Filed under: Incilius fastidiosus (Pico Blanco toad)
Lineage: Eukaryota; Metazoa; Chordata; Amphibia; Anura; Bufonidae
Description: partial 16S ribosomal RNA
Rfam family: Bacterial large subunit ribosomal RNA
Source: RNAcentral
GCCAAAAACCUAGCCCAACUAAUAUGAAUUUAACCAAAUUAAUUAACCUCACCUAAUAAAUCAUUUUAACAUUUUAGUAAAGGAGAUUGAAAAUUUAUUGGAGCUAUAACAACAGUACCGCAAGGGAAAGAUGAAAUAUUUAAUGAAAAUUUUAAGCAAUAAAAAGUAAAGAUUACCCCUUGUACCUUUUGCAUCAUGGUUUAACUAGUCUAAUCAAGCAAAACGUAUUUUAGUUUGACUUCCCGAAACUAAGUGAGCUACUUCAGGGCAGCUAAAAGAGCGAACCCGUCUCUGUAGCAAAAGAGUGGGAUGACCCCCAAGUAGCGGUGACAGACCUAACGAACUUAGUGAUAGCUGGUUACUCAAAAAAUGGAUCUAAGUCCAACCUGAAAUUCACCAUAGUUUACCAAAACAACUUUCAAAUUUCAGAGUAAUUCAAAUAAGGUACAGCCUAUUUGAAACAGGAUACAACCUAGACUAACGGAUAAAACUAGCCCUUCUAUGCAAUCAAGUGGGCCUAAAAGCAGCCAUCUUUAAAAUAGCGUCAAAGCUUAAUUGUUCUAACGCCUAAUUACCAAAUUUUUAUUUAAUCCUCUAUUAUUAAUGAGUAAUUUUAUAUUACUAUAAAAAAUUUUAUGUUAAAACUAGUAACAAGAAGAAAGCCCUUCUCUUUAAUGCAAGCGUAAAUCAGAAAGGACAAACCACUGAUAUUUAACGUUAUGAGCCAAAAGUAGAAACCUACCAAGAAAACCCUACUCUCACCAAUGUUAACCUAACACAAGAGCAUUUCAAGAAAGAUUAAAAGAAAAAGAAGGAACUCGGCAAAUAUUAACCUCGCCUGUUUACCAAAAACAUCGCCUCUUGAGUACUUAUAAGAGGUCCAGCCUGCCCAGUGACCAUGUUCAACGGCCGCGGUAUCCUAACCGUGCGAAGGUAGCGUAAUCACUUGUUCUUUAAAUGUGGACUAGUAUGAAUGGCUCCACGAAGGUUAUACUGUCUCCUUUUUCUAAUCAGUGAAACUAAUCUCCCCGUGAAGAAGCGGGAAUGAAACUAUAAGACGAGAAGACCCUAUGGAGCUUUAAACAACAUAGCACUUGCCACACAACAUAAAAAUUCCCGAAAAUUUUAAAUUAGACAACUUGACUAUAAGUUUUUGGUUGGGGUGACCGCGGAGCAUAACACAACCUCCAUGAUGAAAGAAUCAUUUUUAAACUAAGACCUACGGGUCUAAGUAUCAAUAUAUUGACAUCCAUUGAUCCAAUAUAAUUGAGCAACGAACCAAGUUACCCUAGGGAUAACAGCGCAAUCCACUUCAAGAGCUCCUAUCGACAAGUGGGUUUACGACCUCGAUGUUGGAUCAGGGUAUCCCAGUGGUGCAGCCGCUACUAAAGGUUCGUU